Molecule: long non-coding RNA, 616 nt
Filed under: Nicotiana tabacum (common tobacco)
Lineage: Eukaryota; Viridiplantae; Streptophyta; Magnoliopsida; Solanales; Solanaceae
Description: long non-coding RNA (NTAB_LNC016330)
Source: RNAcentral
UUGAAGAGAACGAUGGGUGUUUAAUGUUGGGUUGGCAUACUCGGCCACUCAUCGCCACCUCCGCGUGGCGGCUCAAGGCGGCCGGCGAUACCAAGUUGUAGUGAGUCAACUCAGGGAGGAGACUGAGUCAACUCGGGUAACCCCCCCCCCUCCCCUUCCUUCCCCUCCACCCACAUUGUGAAUUAUCAGUGAUUGUCGAUGAGGCGUGAGUGGGUGGGGGUGAUUUGUAGUGUGAGGGACAACGAGAGAGACGUGCCCAAAAUUGAGUCAAAUCAUGUCUUUUACUUUUUAACCUCUUUAUAAAUCAGCCCCUUUUUUUCACUUUUUUUUUAAUUUUUAACCACUAAAUAUUUUGUUGUUGUAUUUAUUAUUUUUUUUUUAGCCUUUUGUAGGGUUGGUCCGGAACCAAAAUGUGGUUUUUUGGAACUCAAACUACAUAAAUAAAUGGUAAAAAAGACCUUUUUAUAUAUAGCGCCAUAAUACCUGGCGCUAUAUACUAACAGUAACGGAACCGUUAAGGUAUAACGCCAGGUAUUGUGGCGGCUAUACUGUAAAAGCUGACAUGGACAGGUAUAAUGCCACAAUACCUGACGCUAUAUAUACAACAUUAAUGUAU